Molecule: long non-coding RNA, 15741 nt
Filed under: Olea europaea (common olive)
Lineage: Eukaryota; Viridiplantae; Streptophyta; Magnoliopsida; Lamiales; Oleaceae
Description: long non-coding RNA (OEUR_LNC004755)
Source: RNAcentral
UCAGCUAUAUUUCCUAUGAAUAAAUAAAGGCAAAUGCAGAAGGUAAACCUUAAAUUGAAUAUGUCAGACAUAUGCCAAAUAUGUUGGUAGUUCAAAUAAGUCACAAUCUGGGACCUCAAUUGAAUAACCCACAAAUGGGGCAGCAAAUACUUCUCUCAACAGUCAACAUCCAAUACAUGAAAAUCAAUCAAUUACAUUAGAAAGUCAUAACAAUCAAGUACAUUAGAAAGACAUAAUCAAUAUGCUUCCAUUUUGACAAAUAUUUCAAAGUAAAUCACCUCAUCCUAUUGAACGAGGUCAAAAAUACCAGAGGUCUUGAACUUUCAAAAAAAACCUAAAAACUUUACAGAAACCAGCAAACACCAGGACCAGGUAUUUCCAGAAGCCAAAUGGGCAGAUGAUUCCAACGAUUCAAGUGAAGUGGAGGACCAAUUAUGUGGACAAAAACUAGAUGGGUACCAAUAAAGAAUAGAUAAGCAGAAGCAAAGCUCACAUAAACUUACAAAAGUAACUUUUGUCAAAAUGAUAGUAACUUUCAGUCAGGAUGGAUAACAUAUACCUGGCUGGGUGACUGCAGAAGGAACCUCAAGCUUCGACACAUCAUAGGUGACAGGCUCUUCUUUAACUAAAACAUGACCGGUAGUGGUCUUCUGUUUGGGUAACCCGGCAAUGCUGGGCUGAAGGUUUGGCUCUUUAUGGCAUCCAGCAAGAGAUGACCUCUUCUCCCCAGAAGGAAUUUGUGGUGAGAGAGUUCCCUUUCCUCUGUCUCUCAGGCGCAUUGGAUGAGAAACUGAAUUGGAUUCAGUUCUCAAACUGGUCUUUUGCUGACUUUUAUUGACAGCACUAGGCUGAGAGGGAUCGCUCCUCUCCUGUGACUCAGCCCUCAAUUUUUUAGUAUUGGGCUGAGGUGAAUCUGCUUUGUCUUGUGCAAUUCAAACCAGCCAUUCAAAAGCCAACAAAAAAAUGCAGAAGACUAGGCAUAAGAAACAAUCUACACAAAGUGGUUCAAGUGUGCUCCAACAGAACAAUCGGAAACAGAAUUGUGUACAUGCUGGCAGAGGAAAAUUACAUUCCAAAUCCUUUACUUCCAACUUACAGAAUGGGAAAGCACUCAGUGGAGAUUCCUCUUCAGUAAGGCAUAGGUUAAUUUAAGAAGGGGGAAAUGUAGAGGAUUUGGAGAAAAUUGAAGCACAAGAAUAAAAGCAAUUUCCUUUCGAGACCCUUGUUGCAGCAACCCAAAAAUUUAAUUAUACUCGAAAGCUUAGUGAAGGAGGCAUUGGUCUUGUUUAUAAGGUAAAAUUUAACUUGUGGGCAUUUGAAUUUUUCCCAAUAAAAGAAAAAAGAAGGAUAGAAGUUUUCCCCAUCUCUAAAAGGGUUCUACUUGAAGGAAUCUUUUAGCUACUACGGUGCUACUGUUGGGAACAUUGAUCCAUCAACACUUGGUGCAUUUUCCUUCGGUCAGCUUGUCAUAGAAGGAUGUUAGCAGAAUCAGAAGAACUAGAAGCUCGGAACUCUACUUUGGGAAAUGGUCCCGCCAAUGCUAUACUGGGCACUAUAGAAGCUACAAAGACUGAGAAAGGGCCCUUACCCUCCCUAACCUUAUUAUAGACUUCCGAAAAAUCCGAAUAUAUGAGGAUUCCCUCACCUUAUAAGUUCAACAAAUCAUCGAAAUGCUCUCUCUGAAGAUUCAACAAGCUAUUAGCUAUGCAAGGGUUUCUUAGAGUAGAUAGCUCUAUCUAUCAUAGUGAAAUAGAUUGAAAGAAAUCUUCCUUUUUCCCCCCUUGGCUUCAUUACUCUGCUUGUUGCCAGCACUAUUCACUAUUAUUAAGAAAGAGCAGAAGUGGUCUUCUUUUACAGCAUAUUUAAACUUAAACGAGGUGACAGUGAAUCAUGCCUAUAAGUGAAAUACUUACUACUUGGACGCUUUACGCUGCGGCAGAACCGGCUGCCACAUUGACAGCGAAAUGCCUUAACGGGAUGAUCGUGGUCAUCAAAAUCAAUACCAUAAUCCUGCGAGGAUAACAUUGAGACGUUUUAACAAAGAGCAUAUUCAGAUACAUAAAUUUAUGCUAUGUGUAGCCAUCAAAUUGUUAUUUAAUUUUAAGAGCACGUGAUUGAACAUACACAUAGAUAAAAGAGAGUGAACAAAGCAGUUAACUGCACAUAUAGUACACAUUUGAUUUUAUUACACAUAGUAACAAUCAUAGACAUAAAAAUGGCGAACAAAAGGGCAGAAGUGAGAACAUUUACUUAGAAUUCAAAAUCUUAUGUUGCUGAAUUUUCAGACAUAUGAUAACCCUUUAAGUUAGAGAUUAGUCUAUACUCUAGGAAUUUUCCUACUGCAUUUAUUCCAGCAGGAAUAUUGUUCUUAUGUUAAACAAGCAGCCCUAGACACAGAAUAGCCUAUUUUGUGAAGGUCUCUUAGUUUUGGCCUGAUGCAGGUCAACCAAUUUUUUGUACUUCUUUACUUACCUAUCAAUACACAUUUAAAAUAUCACAUGUACCGUGGGUCACCCUUGCCAACAGUGGUUAUGGUCAUGGCCCAAGACCUUCCUUAUUUUAUUGAGUGAGAGGAAGGGGACAGUUGAGUGGCCAGUUCACUAGCUAGUUCAGUCGAGUUAUAAUGACUCGUACAGAUGAAAUCAAACUCAGAUGUGGAACAUUGAAUUCAUCAUCAACCCUUUUUCAUUUAUAUAGCCCGUGCCUACGUUAUAAUGCUCCUAUUUCCUUUGGAAUUGUACAAAUUAUGUCCUCCUACGAGAAAUAAUUAUUCACUCCCCAAAAAUGCCCUGAAGUACAUAAACAAGGAUACUUGUUCCUUAGAUGUGAGGGUAAAAGUGAAAAGUUACAUCAACCAUCCACUUUUAUCAACUAUUUUAUAAAACUCUGUGCCAUUUCAAAUCACUUCAUUGAGUUAUGGAUGAAGGAUUAAUAUUUAAUAUGGUGUGGCUUCAGCAAAGGUAAACAAUAAAAGGUGGGAGCCAAUGAACAAUCUAACACGUUCAAAACUCAUUUCAAAAAACUAUUACAUGCACAAUUCAAUUUAUUAAGACAAACAGUCGUGCAACCAAGAUGUAACCAGAUACCACCACAUAGAAUCUAACUACAAUGUCCAGACAAGAAAAUUUAAGGAUGCAGCCAUAUCAAACCAUACGCUAAACUGCAGCUACCAUCCCCACGUGUAUGGUCUUUCGCACUUUUAACCUCAUCUUUUGUUCUUGGUAUCAAGCUCCUGGAUCUUUUAGCCUCAUUUUCUCAGUUUUCUAAAGUCCACCCAAUGGAAACAAAUUCUCUUGCUUAGAGGCCUAUAUUCGUACAAAUUAGGUAGGAAAAAGAAUUGGCAAAAGAUCAACUUUAGCAUAAUCCAAAUUCCAAUGUGGAAGCUAUAUUGUGAUUAUUUAAUAAUUAGAGGGUGGGUGUUGACAGAUUCUAUGUUCAGAAAGGGAAGUCUUGGUUUUAAUUCUUAGCAAGUCUGUAGUUAUUUUGCAUGAGAUAGCACAAAAUCAGCAGCAGCAGAUUAGUAAGAGGUUACCCUUCCUGGGUGUAGGUGUACGAGUUAUUCAAAAUAAGAUAAAGGAAAAAAAAAAAUUAAUGAAUGCAAGCAUAUAACUUAACAAAACAACAAACUAAGCCUUAUUCUUAUAAAAUUUAGGAUCAGCUACACAUGCUUUUUCACUACUCCUUGCAGUCCAUCUCCACAUCCAUGGGAAGAUCUAAGGCAAUCAGAAUGCUUUUAACUCCGGUAUACCAGGUAAAUUUUUGUCUAACUCUCCCUUUCUAAAAUAUUCUAUUAGGAUCUCAUCACUCUUGUGAAAGGGAGUUUCUUUAGGUGACAUCCUCCAACCACCUAACUCAUCCUACUCUCAAUUUAUCCUCAAUGGGUGCCUUCAUCUGUUCCCAAAAAACCAACUAAAAUAUUACUAGUAGGAUAGAUGGUUUCCAACUAGCAAUGAAGAGGUUGAAAUUUGCUUAAGCUUACACUGCAUUUUCAUUCAAACGGAUUUAUGACAUUUUCGAGACACUAAGACUCCUUUAUCAAUGACAUAGUGCUCCCUCAAAAUGAAACCAAUUUCAGUAAAAUAUGAUCUAGAUGAAAAACGCCCACCAAUAUUAUUGCCACAUUUUCACAGUUCCAAAUCGACCAUAUUCUAGCUCCUCGAAAUCAUAAAGCAAGUGAUUUUCCCAUUAAUUGUUCACAAUAGUCGAAUAUACAUUACUAAGAACAGUAGACAUCUAUACCUCCCUAGAACAACAAAAAGCACGUUUAUACAUAACGUAUUUCAAUGAAAUAAAUCCUACUUACCCAAGUGAGUUCUUCCAUAGCUUUUACCUUUCUUGUAGUGAAGAAGGCAAGCUGCAUUAAGAGAUGCAAAAUUCAAUAAAACUGUGGACACAAAUGAUUAACAGCAGUCGCCAUGGAAAACGGAAAAGGUUAACCAUUAUGGAUAGGAUUUCAUACAUGGUAAUAGUGGUGAUCAGGUGUCUCCACUUCCACAGGUAUCUCCACCAUGUUUGAAUCGAAACACCUAGCAGGAUAUAAAAAUGGCUAUUAAGAAAUCUGAAAACGAAAUCAACCAAAGGCUCUGAGAAAGAGAAAUCUCUUCUAUAAAAUUUAAUGCAUUCUACAUUCUGGAGGCAGACGGGAUUGGAGACAAAAGAAUUUGUCUUUGACAAGGAUGUUGACAUAUUUAAGCAAACGCAAUUUUAUGGUUAUAUGUAUGUGCUUCUGCGCACCUGUGGAGGGAGAGAGGGACUCAAUUACAAAAAUGAAAGAGUUCUAGGAAGUCAGCAUUAUAGCCAGGGUUGAAUAGGAUAAUCUAAUAAAUGAAAUAAAAAUGUUUAACCUAAACCUUACCUUCUUCAGUUUCCCCAUCUUAUCUGAACAUUAUCAUAAACAAUGUGAUAAACAGACAGCCUUUCAUUUGUAUUGAUUGUCAAGACCUUAAACAAGGCUCUACUAAGCUCUUCAAUGGAGCAACUUUUGACAACACGAAAGAUUCAUGUUAUGAUCCUUUGCCUUGGUUUGCUCUCUCUCAUUUUUUGAAUAAGCUAGAAACAUAUUACUAACUCGCUAUCACACUAGAGAUUAAGACCAAGAGACAUGGUGACUGAACAGUGAACUUCACGAAAAAGAACAAUAAUUCACAAAAUGAAUGCGUUCUCAAUCAACUGAACUUACCUAUGGUUGAUAAACCUUGCUACGUUACCAUAAUAUGUAGCAUCUAAACAAAGAGCAUCUUCAUCCUUUAAAACAACUUCCGAACACCAAUCAGCAUCAAGGAGCACAGGAUAUGAAUGUUCUUCCCCUUUGGAGCUCCGUACACGAUCAUAUAGCUCCGCAUUUGUUAAAACUUCUCCAACAUAUUCGCAGACAAAGGCACCUUUUGGCAGAUCCUCCAAGGUACGUAAACCCCACCCUUUUCCACCAGGAGUCAUAAACACCUGAAGAAAAAAUUAUAUAAGGAAAAGUUAGUGCAAUCAUGGAAAAACUUAUUAUUAAAGCAUCAACGAGAUCAUAAGACUCGAUAAUCAAGCAAAAAGAACAUGGGGUUGGGUCUAGGUCCAAACAUAGGCAGGAACUCCUACCUGUAAAUUGCGACUUAUUCCCCUUUGUACCACUCGAUUGCCGCACUGUAUAUUACACCCACAUUUCAACCAACAUUCUUUGAUGAACUUCCUCACCAAAUGACCCUUGCAAGAUCCAACGAUAUCUUCAUUUUUUGACCUUUCCAGUGGACAUUCCUUACAGAAGUACUGGCAGUGUUUUUCAGGAUCACGAUUCAUUGAAAUACACUCUUUAAGGAAUUCCUCCUUGAUGAGUCCAUCACUUGUGUAUGCAAACUCACCGCCAGUUUCAUGUGAACAUGCACAAGGCAAGGAUAAUGAUAGACAAUCACCAGAACAGGUUGAACAACAAUUAUUAUCUCCUAUACGAGCUAGAGAAAAAUUUACAUAUGCAUUUUGGAAAACAGCAUUUUUGGGUAUGUAGAAGAAAGAUGGCGGAGACUUGUCAUUAAAUUCAUUCACCAGGGUAAUUACUACUCUUUCUUGUCCCUUGGCUAUAUCAACAACGUCAUGGAGUGAACUUAUCCUUUCAGGUGUCAAUUGACGCUCCUGGCUAACCACAACAUGCUGGAAGUUUGUGUCUUCAAGAUCAUUCUCUUUAUUUUCUUCAUCUGUUACACAGAAAUUUUCACUGGCCUUCUUGUUAAGCUGCAUGCCGUCAUCCACACCAUCACAAGAUGGAGGAAGUUUUGGUUCUUGGAGCAGAGCUACCUCCUCAUCAAACUGAGAACCGACUGAUCCAUUCAAAGAAUGAAAGCGCGUGCCUUUAGCACCUAAAGCAUCUGUUAAAAAGAUUUUUUGAAUGAAUCAAUAAUGAGUUUCACAUUUAUGGUUUCUGGAGUUAAGAGGAUUCAGUUCAAAAUUUAUUUCAUAAGUUUCAUCAAGGAAAAGUUCAUAUCAUAAGUUUUGUAUGAUCUGAGACAUUUAUCCUCCAAAAUUUUAGUGCUGCAUCAAGACUAGGCAUAUGGAAGUCAGGCCUUCCAAAAGUCAAGUUGCAGAUCAUAAAUUUUCACCUCUCCAAAAGGUGAGGAAGCAAUCUCAAGGUUUAAACAAGAUUCACCUGAAACCAUUGCCGGGUUGCCAUUGUUUCUCGUUUCAUUUGAAAUGGGAACCCCAUCAGCUGUGCCUUUUUCACCCAUAAACUGUAACAGAUCAGGACCAUUAUUUUCUCUGAUCGAACCAUUUCCACUAGAUGACUCUCCUUUACUUGAUGGAUCUGAAAAUGAUGAACUCACAAAAACUCAGCUAUAUUUCCUAUGAAUAAAUAAAGGCAAAUGCAGAAGGUAAACCUUAAAUUGAAUAUGUCAGACAUAUGCCAAAUAUAUUGGUAGUUCAAAUAAGUCACAAUCUGGGACCUCAAUUGAAUAACCCACAAAUGGGGCAGCAAAUACUUCUCUCAACAGUCAACAUCCAAUACAUGAAAAUCAAUCAAUUACAUUAGAAAGUCAUAACAAUCAAGUACAUUAGAAAGACAUAAUCAAUAUGCUUCCAUUUUGACAAAUAUUUCAAAGUAAAUCACCUCAUCCUAUUGAACGAGGUCAAAAAUACCAGAGGUCUUGAACUUUCAAAAAAAACCUAAAAACUUUACAGAAACCAGCAAACACCAGGACCAGGUAUUUCCAGAAGCCAAAUGGGCAGAUGAUUCCAACGAUUCAAGUGAAGUGGAGGACCAAUUAUGUGGACAAAAACUAGAUGGGUACCAAUAAAGAAUAGAUAAGCAGAAGCAAAGCUCACAUAAACUUACAAAAGUAACUUUUGUCAAAAUGAUAGUAACUUUCAGUCAGGAUGGAUAACAUAUACCUGGCUGGGUGACUGCAGAAGGAACCUCAAGCUUCAACACAUCAUAGGUGACAGGCUCUUCUUUAACUAAAACAUGACCGGUAGUGGUCUUCUGUUUGGGUAACCCGGCAAUGCUGGGCUGAAGGUUUGGCUCUUUAUGGCAUCCAGCAAGAGAUGACCUCUUCUCCCCAGAAGGAAUUUGUGGUGAGAGAGUUCCCUUUCCUCUGUCUCUCAGGCGCAUUGGAUGAGAAACUGAAUUGGAUUCAGUUCUCAAACUGGUCUUUUGCUGACUUUUAUUGACAGCACUAGGCUGAGAGGGAUCGCUCCUCUCCUGUGACUCAGCCCUCAAUUUUUUAGUAUUGGGCUGAGGUGAAUCUGCUUUGUCUUGUGCCUGAUUCUGAUUCUGUAGACUUGUUUCAAGAAGUUCAACCUGUUCUUCUUUAGGUAUGACAAGUGAAGUUCCAGGCAAGCUUGUAUUAUUUAAGGAAGGUAACACUUCAACUUCUCGAUUUCUUAGUCGCAACCUUUUGAAAGUUCGUUCAGGCUCCUGAUUCACCUGAGCAACUUCUCGAUUUCUUAGUCGCAACCUUUUUAAGGGUCGUUCAGGCUCCUCAUUCACCUGAGCUUCUUCCUCCAAAUAAUCCUCCUGCCAUUUAAGGGAAGUGGACAGGUUCAGUGUCGUAAGAUUGACGAAAAUAAGAGAAAAAAGAGACUAAUGACCAAAAUUCACAAGCAUUAAAAAUUGUUUCCAGAAAGCACGACAAUCAAGAAGAAGAAAAAAAGAAGCUGCUUACUUCAUUGUUCACAAUCUUCUUUGACUGCUCUAUUGCCUGAAUGAGAGGAUAAAUAAAAAAAUUAUAGUUCAACAAAAACUAUGAAAAAUACGGAGUCUAACAGAUGGAAUUAACUUAGAGGUAAUAACUCCAAAGAGGAAAAAAGGAAAAAGAACAAAAGAAUAACAUUUUUUGAGGGGAACACCAUACCUCAGAUUCCUCCCUCUCAAAUAUAGCAUCAGCAAGGGCUCUAUAGUUUUCCUCUUCAAUAAGUUCCCAAUUUUUAUCAAACAACUUUAGUAGAUUUUUCAAUGCUGGCUUCACCUUAUCUUCGGAGAUCCCAAUAGCCUUCAUAGCAUGAAAGGCUUUGGCAACUCUUGGAUUUGGCGGCAUGCUUAUUCGAACAAAUUUUAUAAAGCAGCCUCUGAACCUUCCAGUGAACCUAAAUACCUUAAUUAUGUGAGCAAAAGAACAACAGAAAGUGCCUAAACCUAUAAACUAGUAAGUAAACAAAGCUCAGUUACAGAUAAUCCCUGAAAUAUCAUACACCAAAUAUAUUAAAACUACAUAUUGGGGUGACCAGGUCAAAUAAUGAUCAUUGUGUCAAGCAGGUAAAAGAAGAUAGAUAGGUUGCUUGUAUCAUACAACGAUCAGUUAAAACUAAAUAUUGGGGUGACCAUGCCAAAUAAUGAUAGAUCACAUCAAGCAGGUAACAGAAGCCAGAUAGAUAGCCUGUGUCAGCAAAAUGAAUAACGCUCAAACAAGACUCAUAAUUGUCCUGUUUCGGACCUUUGGGUCCACCUUAAGUAAAUGAUGGGAUACUAGCAUAAGUAAUUGGCCAGCAAUGAAGCUCCAACUGUUAGCUGGAAACCAAAUGCAGCAAAAUAUGGAGAAGAGAUGCCGCUAGUACAGUAGUGCUAACAGGAAUUUAUACUGACAUCCUAAAGCAUACUUUGACCAACUCUCAAAUUGAAUGUCUUAGAUAACUACAUUAAAAGGUGAGUUAUAGAAAGCCAUAUUCUCUCAGGUUCUAGAACAAACACAAUCCUUACAAAGGCAGCACAAGCAGCAUGCCUCAGCUGCCCUACUUGCAACCACCACUACCAAUUCACACUGAAAUCAAACACCAGUACCAUUACAUGACUUGCAAAAAUUAUAUUUUUCCUAAAAAGUACAGAAAUUGCAUAAAAAUUUCAGUUGUACAAGAAAUGCUCGAGUAAUAGAACUGAAUGACCUAUUACUGCUCUUUUUCGGAAACAUUACCUCUUUUGCUCUUAAACAUACAGGAAAAUUGCCCUCAACGACAACAAAGGCAACGUGAAUCUUUCUUUGCCGCUCCUUCGGUUCAUUACAAUUAUAGGGAGACAAAAACAAUUGUAUCCUUGGCAACCACUACAAGCCCUAUUAGAAUCUAUUCUAACCUUCUCUAAUGAGAUUGCAUCACUCUUGUGGUUCGGAGCCUCUUGUCUGCACAAAAUUUGUUCCAAGUGUCUAAGUUUUUGUUCUCUUAAUUUCUCCUCAAUCAGCAUCAUCUCCAUUUGUUGGGGUAAAUUCUCGUUCAUUAUCCAUUCUAGUAUGACAACACAUUCAUCAUAGCAUCUUUGUUUGCUCUACGUUCAUAUAUGGGCAUUGUCCUUUAAUAGCCAAGCACUCGUACCUAAAGCAUAGCGGGUAUUAUAAUUGAUCAAUAGAACUGAUCUUUUAAGCUGUACAAUGCGUGUUUGUUUUUCUUUAUUUAUUUUUUUCCUCAAAAGGGGGCCGCACAAAUGCAGAUUCUCACUCUCACAAAUAAUGAUGUAGGCUCAACUACUUGGGCUGAUCUUAAGCCGGAUCCCUUCCCAAGUGUAAUGAAAGUCACCAGUAGAGGGCAUGGGCCUUCAUGAUUUCCUAUUAACCAGUCCAAAUAAGAAUAAGUGGCAUUACAUGUACUGUAUGGAUUUCCUAUUAACCAGUCCAAAUAAGAAUAAGUGGCAUUACAUGUACUGUAUUGAUUCUUUUAUAUAAAAACACUUAGAUUCAAAGUACUCAUCCAAAGAUUGAACUUAUGAUGAAACUUUUUUACCCAAAAUCGAAUAACAUAACCCUAGAAACCUCUUUCUUGGAUAUGCAUCAUAGCAUGUUAAUGAUUAAAGAGAGAAUAUGAGACAACUGAAGACCUAUAGUGAGGAAAUUCUCCAUUACUACUAUCACUGCAUCUCACACUAAUGACUGUUCCAUUAAACAUGUCUUUAAUUAUAUAAUUUAUCCAAUAGAAUUUCAUUUUCUCUCUAGCACCCACCAUAGCACUUCUAUAGAUACUUAUCAUGGACUUUUUUACAUCAAUUAAAUCCAAGUGAGAAAAAACUCAUUCAUAAAAAUUUGUAGGACAAUAUGCAAACAAAAACACAUAUCAAACAGGUGUUAAACUACAAAAUAGAAGUGCUUGCUUCCAAAACUGAGAUGUAAAAGAAAAGGGUGUACUAGCAAUGUCUCAUCCUUACCCAAUGCAAAACGUAACUCUACAUUUCUUUACACAUAAAACCACACUAGCAUGCAAUGAACAUCUGAAUCUUUUUGGAGUGUUGUGACCAAAUGACAUAAUGGUUGGUAAUGGAAUAAAUACAUGAUUAUGCAACGAGCAUGUAGAUCUACAUGAUUUGUGCUUAUUAACAAAGACCUUAAAUUGUCACACCAUAUAAGAGAGGAAGGAAAAAAAAUAAAAAAGGAUGCCUACAGCAUCAAUGUGCUAAGGUUUGACACCAUUAUUUUUAGGGUAAAUCCCCCAAGGGGUUCCCAACCUCACAUAAGUGUGGCAGCCGUGUCCCAAACUUUGCAUUUGCCAUUUGCCCCACCCAUAUCCACAUACCUUUAACAUUAUGCACUCGAUAUCCCCGCUCAAUGAGAAAAGUGUGCUUAGACAUUAAAUGACCAUGUCGAAUGUGAUAUCAAACUAAAACGACAAAAUUGUCAAAAAAAAAAAAAGGCAACAUUUGUUGUAAUUUUAAGUUGCCCUAUGAAUUUUGGAAUAAUGAAAUUCUUUUAAGGUAAUUGUGUCCCUUUUACAUAUAGUGCGUGUUGCUUUUACAUAUAGAUAGACGUUCUUCAACAUGUGAAGAUACUAAUGCACAAUGUUAAAAGGUUUGGAGACAUGAUUACGACAUUUAUGAAAAGUUGAAGACCAAAUAGGAAUUUACAUAUAGAUAGACGUUCUUCAAUUUUAGGAGACUGCAAUUAUACAUAUAAGAAAUCCAAAGAGAAAGCUUUGGCAACUCUAAGAAAGGAAGUGUUGAAUGAGCACAAAUGGAUGAAACCAGCAAUAAUACAUAUAGGCACAGAGAUAGAUGUGGUUCCUCUAUGAGAGGAACUGAUGACUGACAAUAAAUGAUGAAUUCAUAUUACUUGUUCAAAAAAUAUUGUAAUGAUUUUUUCGCUGUUGUGAAAAAUUAAAUGCAAUUUAAGCAUUGAAGAUUUUGAUAAGCUGGCUUAUUAAUCAACACCUCACACAUGUAAUUGUCAUGCGACAAGCAAGUAAUGUCAGACUGAAAGGGUAAAAUUGUUAAAAAAAGGCAAUAUUUAAUGUAAUUUUAAUGGCAGCCCUUUAAAUUUUGGAAGAAAAUCCUUUCUUGACAAUUUUACACAUUCAAUCAUACAUCACAUGUCUAUCACUUUUACAUCUCGAAUUCAAUAGAUGAAGAUAGCACAUGCACAACGUUAAAAGGUUUAAAGACAUAAUUGCUACACUAAUUGAAGGUUAGGAUCCCUGGACAAAUUUACCCCUAAAUUUAUCGCAGUUAAAUAUGACAUGUAAGCAUAUCACUAAUAUUCAUUCCAUCCCUGAGGAAUUACUUUUUCACUUUUUGGGAUCAACUCAAAGUUUUUCAAGGCCAUGUUUCAUAUCAAUUAAUUAAUCUCCUAAUCAAAAACUUUUUUACAGCAGUACAGGUACCUAUGAGAAUUUUAUGAUUCUAAGUUCUUUUUUCUAUCUGGAACCAAAUACAACAAACAGCGGCAAAAAAUUAGGCUCCGUACCAAAAAAUUUGUAGGUCGAUAAGAUUUUUUGUCACUAUGUUCUGCUCAUUGCUAGAUCUAUUACAAAAUUCAAAGUAACUGGAUUUUAAAACUAAAAAACAUGACAGAAAACAAUGCACAUCGAGAUCAAGAGAUAAAAUAACACUUUAGAAUUUUACUCAAGAACAAAUGCAAGGACACGGAGAAAUUCUAAACAAAUUAAUAACGUUAGAGUAAUUCAAUUCUACUUAGAUGGAAAAACAUUGUUUUCAUUUUUCCCAUUACACAUCAAUUUUAGGAGACUACAAUUAUACAGAUAAGAAAUCCAAAUAGAAAGCUGGCACCUCUAUGAGAGGAAGUGAUGAUCGAUCAUGAUGAAUGGAUUGGCAAUUAUAGGUAAACACGAAGAGAAAGCUUUGGUACCUCUAUGAAAGGAACUGGCGGUUGACCAUAAAUGAUAAAUUCGUAUUACUUGUUGAAAAAAUGUUGUAAUGCCUCUGUAGUGAAAACUUAAAUGUGAUAUAAGCAUAGAAGAUAUCGACUAGUUGGCAUAUUAAUCAACGCCGUACACAUGUAAAGCAUGCAAAACAUGGAUGUAUUUGUCCAAUACAAGUGAUUCUUUGGCACAAUUUUGACCACCUAGGGUGGAGAUGUCUUUUAAAACCUAAUAAAAUAAUGCAAUUUAACUUGACUGACCAAAGAGUUCUUUCCCCAAAAAUCAGAUAUAGAAAUGGAUGAAAGGCCUCUGAAAUACCAAUUACUAGAAUAGAAGUGUAUACCGUGUCAACAAUAUGGGUAAAGGUUUAGAACCAAAAAUAUUAAACCAGAGAACUGAAACACACCAUUCCAGACAGAAUGAGUGAAGUGGAUCUGAUGGGUGUAAAAUGAAGUUUGGGCAAUUUUUUAUUCAUACCACAGUUUGUCUGAUUCAACCUGAGGGAGAAACUAAAUUUUUUUACCAUGGGCUCGAGCACUGAAGUUGGGAGAAAUCAUAAAUUGACCUACAGUUAAAGAAAAAUAUAAUUUGAAGAUGUUGGCUGCCCGGUGAAGCCUCAACUUAAGAAUGACAUUUUUAAGGCUCAUUUACUUAAAUGUACCAACAUCCGACAAAUUUAAAACUUCAGUUUUUUACUCCACUUGAUCUCCUAACUACUAAAUAGACAGACAGCUUCCAAGCUCAACUUGAAUUUUGGUUAAUAAAGGCUAAUAAUUUGUUGCUUCAAGUCUGAAUUAAUAAGCCUGAAUAGAGCUUAAAGCUUCUCUACAAUUUCAAACCAAUCUCAAGCAUGUCCCUAGCUAAGAUUAGAAAACUUGUGAAAGAUGCAUUUUCACUGUGGAAUUAUAGCUCUAAAAACUCUGUUUCCCAAUGUCAUAAACAUCCAUCUUGUGCUGCAAAUUGCCACUAUACUCAAAACGUUUUUCAGUUGAUGAAAAAAAAAAAAAAAACACAAAAGAUUUCUUCCUUCUAGAUUAUUUGGUACAACUCCUUCUGUCACUUUUGAACACUAUCAACUAGCUAAUGGGAGCUCUUACAGACAGUGGGCAGUGCAGAACAUUAAUUCGCUGUUUCAAAGAACCAUAUAUUGACCUGACCUUCAAAAAAAGUUGAAAAUCAUACACUAGGUUGCUUUUUCUCCUUCUAUUACUUUCCUUCCAAUAAUUCCAUUUUUAGUCACUAUAUAGUCACUAUAAAGUAUAAACUAUAAAAUAAAAGCCAAUAUAUUGAAAAAAAAUACCGUUCUCUAUUGGGACGACAAAAAUUGAGAAAAUUCAAACAAAAAAAUUAUAACAUUUGGACUUAACUUGAAUAAUCUGACAUUUCUAAAAUUCGCGGCAACAGGCAAGCAUGUUGGAAAAGUCAAGUCUAUUUUAAUUGCUAUUGCCUUAUUGUCCUAGUCUUUAGGUAAGUUAAUAAAUUAUAUUUGUUAUAAAAAGGAACGUGGCUUGUUUUUGGCCCAGUCAAAUUGAAGUUUGUUUUACAUUUACCUAGUCUUUAGCAUUUUAUCAGGAGUUAGUGGUUAGUGGCUGCAGAUAUCGUUGGUUUUCAGCUCUAUAAAUAGAGCAUGUUACUGUGGUAAUAAUAACUCUGUUUGCAAUGGAUGUCCAACCUUUAUAUCUCUUCCUUCUCGAUAAAGGCGGGGAUGGACUCUGGCAGCCGCGAUCAUUUGAUUGAACUGAAAUUUGGAAUGGGUACACUUGACGAUAUGAAUCAUUUGGCGAGGUCUUUGCAGACAGAGGCAGGUAGAGAAAGAAAUAUAUUACAUCAGGCGGGUUCACUCUUUGCCAUUAAUGGGUAGGGAUCACUUCAUUGAUUUCUGAGAGCAAUAAAGUUCACUUUCCUGUUUCUACUUUCUUGUUUCUAAAUUAUCAGUGGUAUCAGAGCUUGGUUGUGAAAAAAGUGAGAGAGCUACAAUAACAAUCUUUCAUUUUUUUUCAGUUCUUCUUCUUUUCUUUCAGCAGUAGCAGUGAAUGAUGGCGUCAGACAGCUUCGUACAACCAGCUAUUCCCGUUUUGAUGGGCACUAUGAUCAUUGGAGCAUGUUAAUGGAGAAUUUUCUGAGAUCUAAGGAAUAUUGGCCAGUAGUUUCUGAAGGAAUACCAGAAAUGGUGGAUGCAACAGCUUCAGAAGCACAGAAAAUAGAAGUGGAAAGCCAACGUCCGAAGGAUCUUAAAGCCAAGAAUUAUUUGUUUCAAGCCAUCGAUCGCUCAAUCUUGGAAACUAUUCUUUGCAAAGAUACGUCCAAACAAAUCUGGGAUUCUAUGAAAAAGAAAUAUCGGGGAUCGACAAGAGCGAAAAGGCAGUAGCUACAAGCUCUUCGAACAGAAUUUGAAACAACUCGAAUGAAGUCAGGAGAAUCUGUGAUGGAGUACUUCUCACGGGUAAUGACGAUUGCCAAUAAGAUGCGGAUUCAUGGUGACAAGACUGAAGAUGUUACCAUUGUCGAAAAAUUACUUCGGUCCAUGACUCUAAAAUUUAAUUUUGUUAUCUGCUCAAUAAAGGAGUCAAAAGAUGUUGAUGAGCUUUCACUAGAUGAACUCCAAAGCUCUUUGCUUAUCCAUGAACAGUUGAUCAUGAGCAGGACAAAGAUGAACAAGCAUUGAAGGCGUCAACAAGUGGUUAUGGUUGGUCUUCAAACAAAGCAAAUAGAGGAAGAGGUAAAGGAUAUAAGGAUCAUAAAAAUCAGCACCAGCAAUAUAGUAACCAAUUUGGUGAUUCUCAAGGGAGAGGCAGAGGCGGAUUUCAUUUUGGCAACCACAGAGCAAAGUCAGUAGACAGUAGUGGUCUUCUGUUUGGGUAACCCGGCAAUGCUGGGCUGAAGGUUUGGCUCUUUAUGGCAUCCAGCAAGAGAUGACCUCUUCUCCCCAGAAGGAAUUUGUGGUGAGAGAGUUCCCUUUCCUCUGUCUCUCAGGCGCAUUGGAUGAGAAACUGAAUUGGAUUCAGUUCUCAAACUGGUCUUUUGCUGACUUUUAUUGACAGCACUAGGCUGAGAGGGAUCGCUCCUCUCCUGUGACUCAGCCCUCAAUUUUUUAGUAUUGGGCUGAGGUGAAUCUGCUUUGUCUUGUGACUGAUUCUGAUUCUGUAGACUUGUUUCAAGAAGUUCAACCUGUUCUUCUUUAGGUAUGACAAGUGAAGUUCC